Small nucleolar RNA from Parambassis ranga (Indian glassy fish), 67 nucleotides. NCBI's taxonomy places the organism in Eukaryota, Metazoa, Chordata, Actinopteri, Ambassidae. The record is from Ensembl.
AGUCAUUGAUGAUUUAAGUGUAAGAGUAGUGGACAGAAGUGGUUUCUGAGAAAUGUACACUGAGACU